AGAGAGAUGGGUGAGUGGUUGAUAGCUCUAGUCUUGAAAACUGGUAUAGUUUGCAAAGAACUAUCGAGGGUUCGAAUCCCUCUCUUCUUU
RNAcentral lists this transfer RNA (90 nucleotides) under Ricinus communis (castor bean). It matches the Rfam family "tRNA". From Rfam's summary of the family: Transfer RNA (tRNA) molecules are approximately 80 nucleotides in length. Their secondary structure includes four short double-helical elements and three loops (D, anti-codon, and T loops). Lineage: Eukaryota; Viridiplantae; Streptophyta; Magnoliopsida; Malpighiales; Euphorbiaceae. The record is from Rfam by way of RNAcentral.